RNAcentral lists this ribosomal RNA (492 nucleotides) under uncultured bacterium. RNAcentral's name for it is "partial 16S ribosomal RNA". It matches the Rfam family "Bacterial small subunit ribosomal RNA", at positions 29 to 507 of the family's 1533-position model. The record is from RNAcentral.
AGUGAACGCUGGCGGUAUGCCUAACACAUGCAAGUCGAACGGCAGCACAGUAAGAGCUUGCUCUUACGGGUGGCGAGUGGCGGACGGGUGAGGAAUACAUCGGAAUCUACUUUUUCGUGGGUGAUAACGUAGGGAAACUUACGCUAAUACCGCAUACGACCUACGGGUGAAAGCAGGGGAUCUUCGGACCUUGCGCUAUUGAAUGAGCCGAUGUCGGAUUAGCUAGUUGGCGGGGUAAAGGCCAACCAAGGCGACGAUCCGUAGCUGGUCUGAGAGGAUGAUCAGCCACACUGGAACUGAGACACGGUCCAGACUCCUACGGGAGGCAGCAGUGGGGAAUAUUGGACAAUGGGCGCAAGCCUGAUCCAGCCAUACCGCGUGGGUGAAGAAGGCCUUCGGGUUGUAAAGCCCUUUUGUCGGGAAAGAAAAGCAGCCGGUUAAUACGAAGCUGUUCUGACGGUACCCAAAGAAUAAGCACCGGCUAACUUCGUG